RNAcentral lists this ribosomal RNA (496 nucleotides) under uncultured bacterium. RNAcentral's name for it is "partial 16S ribosomal RNA". It matches the Rfam family "Bacterial small subunit ribosomal RNA", at positions 29 to 507 of the family's 1533-position model. The record is from RNAcentral.
AUGAACGCUGGCGGCGUGCCUAAUACAUGCAAGUCGCGCUAACAGACGAGGAGCUUGCUCCUCUGACGUUAGCGGCGGACGGGUGAGUAACACGUGGAUAACCUACCUAUAAGACUGGGAUAACUUCGGGAAACCGGAGCUAAUACCGGAUAAUAUAUUGAACCGCAUGGUUCAAUAGUGAAAGACGGUUUUGCUGUCACUUAUAGAUGGAUCCGCGCCGCAUUAGCUAGUUGGUAAGGUAACGGCUUACCAAGGCAACGAUGCGUAGCCGACCUGAGAGGGUGAUCGGCCACACUGGAACUGAGACACGGUCCAGACUCCUACGGGAGGCAGCAGUAGGGAAUCUUCCGCAAUGGGCGAAAGCUUGACGGAGCAACGCCGCGUGAGUGAUGAAGGUCUUCGGAUCGUAAAACUCUGUUAUUAGGGAAGAACAAAUGUGUAAGUAACUAUGCACGUCUUGACGGUACCUAAUCAGAAAGCCACGGCUAACUACGUG